AACGCACGAGACCUGCGGACCUGCGGAGGGAUCAUUAUAAAAAUAUGGUCAGAACCAUUCUCCUGUGAUUUACGUAAUUGUGUAUACUUUGGCAGGCUUUGGGUCGUUAUCGAUUCAUCUUCUACGUUCGUGUGUAUAGGCGAAUGUCUGAAGCUGGCCUGUCAGAGGUUUUCAAUAAACACACACGUUUAAACUACAGUCUGAAAAUCUCUUUCGAGAGAAUUAAAACAAAUGUAAAUA
RNAcentral lists this unclassified non-coding RNA (240 nucleotides) under soil metagenome. RNAcentral's name for it is "partial contains 5.8S ribosomal RNA, internal transcribed spacer 2, and large subunit ribosomal RNA". The record is from RNAcentral.